UGAAAGUAGUUUAAUCCUUUCCUUUCUUCUUAAGCUUUGCGAAAUGGGGCCAGAGCCCUAUUUAGUGGAGGAUUAAUUUUAUCCCAGAACAGGAGAAAGGCCUUUCUUAAUACUCUAACUUGUGUCCAGUGAAUUAUGAGGUUUCCACUCUGCUCAUUGGAAAUGGGCACUAGUUGAGCUCUAUGUGAGCUUUAGACACUGUUUCCUCUAAUCUUUUCAAGUAGUUAUUUCCCAUGUCUUAAGAAGUUUCCUCAGAUGCAUGCACUGAUCAGUACCCAAGUAAAUACUUAGGAGGGUUCCUCUGGAGGGAAUAUACUGAAUGGACAGAUUUGGGACACUGUCCAACCUUGAAGUUUGAAGACAUUCAACCUAUGCAAACGAUAUGAACGAAGAGGAGGGUGGCAAAUUCCCCCA
Molecule: long non-coding RNA, 414 nt
Filed under: Papio anubis (olive baboon)
Lineage: Eukaryota; Metazoa; Chordata; Mammalia; Primates; Cercopithecidae
Description: lncRNA (ENSPANG00000048486.1)
Source: RNAcentral